GGGGUUGUAGCUCAGUGGUAGAGUGCUUACCUUGCAUGCAUAAGGCCCUGGGUUCAAUCCUCAGCACCA
Molecule: transfer RNA, 69 nt
Filed under: Ictidomys tridecemlineatus (thirteen-lined ground squirrel)
Lineage: Eukaryota; Metazoa; Chordata; Mammalia; Rodentia; Sciuridae
Also listed under: 1 other name
Description: Spermophilus tridecemlineatus (thirteen-lined ground squirrel) tRNA
Rfam family: tRNA
About the family: Transfer RNA (tRNA) molecules are approximately 80 nucleotides in length. Their secondary structure includes four short double-helical elements and three loops (D, anti-codon, and T loops).
Source: Rfam by way of RNAcentral